This is a long non-coding RNA of Cyprinus carpio carpio, 729 nucleotides long. The record is from Ensembl. NCBI's taxonomy places the organism in Eukaryota, Metazoa, Chordata, Actinopteri, Cypriniformes, Cyprinidae.
GGUGCUGCCCACAAAGCUAUGACUGACAUCUGUACCGACUCGUGACAGGUUUUCUACAUUGUCAGAUUACACUUAGUCUAUUCAGACCAAUAAUUUCAUGGCCAGUGUUAGAAGAGCAUAAUAUCCUUGUAAUUUGAAUGAAGAAGCUUUCAGCUGGUGGCAGCCAGCAGUCCACUGUAAUUUCACCUGCUAAAGGUCUUGCCUGUACUGCAGCGUGGCUCCCUUGAGGAGGUUCUCCAUAGCAACCGGCCUUUGUAACUCGCAGACAUGUAACAGUUCACAAUGAGAGCAAAUGAGGAAUAUUCAAACAGCAACACAAGGCCGGCGACAGCUCGCCGUUAUCUGAUGUUCACUCUCCGAGUAAAACUCCCGUUAGUGUGACUGAAUCAGAGCGCUGUGAACUGCUAUAACACUCAUGGAUCCGAGACCAGUGUUUUAUUUAGCACAAGAUCAGUGAUGGACGGACAGACUCCAGCAAGACAGAUGGGCAGAUGUGGCUUCACAGCAGAUGAAUUCAUCUGAUGAACCUGUCCACAGCAGCAUUUGUCUACAUUGACUAUAGGCUCUGCCUUGUAACAAAUUUGUUUGCACCAGAAAUGCAGCCUUUGACUUCAACAGGAAAAAAAUGGAGAGCAUCCUCCACUGUUAAAGCUAGUUGAAGGAGACAAAUGAGGAGAUUCGCAGCCCACCUGAAGCCCUGGAGAACGCUGCCCGAGCAGGCAUGCCAGC